Molecule: long non-coding RNA, 207 nt
Filed under: Nicotiana benthamiana
Lineage: Eukaryota; Viridiplantae; Streptophyta; Magnoliopsida; Solanales; Solanaceae
Description: long non-coding RNA (NBEN_LNC013446)
Source: RNAcentral
AGGUUACCGAGGACAUGACACUUGAUAGGGGAGUCUGGAGGUCUAGAAUCAGGAUUGUAGGCUAGGGGCUUCUAGAGUCCGUCGUUCGCAUCUCUUGGGGUUGGGUGUGGGAUAUCUAGGGUUUCCCAUAGGGGAUUAGUGUUUAGCUUAUGUCUCCUUAUGAGUGUUAGUAUGGUAGUUACGGCUUGUUAUUAUUGCAUUAAUNNN